GAUGAAGAACGUAGCGAAAUGCGAUAAGUAGUGUGAAUUGCAGAAUUCAGUGAAUCAUCGAAUCUUUGAACGCACAUUGCGCCCCUUGGUAUUCCAUGGGGCAUGCCUGUUCGAGCGUCAUUUGUACCUUCAAGCUUUGCUUGGUGUUGGGUGUUUGUCCUGAGGGACUCGCCUUAAAGUAAUUGGCAGCCAGUGUUUGGUUUUGAAGCGCAGCACAAGUCGCGAUUCAAGGCUAUACACCAGCUUCCACAAGCCUUUUUCACUUUUGACCUCGGAUCAGGUAGGGAUACCUGCUGAACUUAAGCAUAUCAAUAAGCGGAGGA
Molecule: unclassified non-coding RNA, 323 nt
Filed under: soil metagenome
Description: partial contains 5.8S ribosomal RNA, internal transcribed spacer 2, and large subunit ribosomal RNA
Rfam family: 5.8S ribosomal RNA (bases 1-120)
Source: RNAcentral